RNAcentral lists this ribosomal RNA (254 nucleotides) under uncultured bacterium. RNAcentral describes it as "partial 16S ribosomal RNA". It matches the Rfam family "Bacterial small subunit ribosomal RNA", at positions 524 to 776 of the family's 1533-position model. The record is from RNAcentral.
GACGAACCGUGCGAACGUUAUUCGGAAUCACUGGGCUUAAAGCGCGUGUAGGCGGGCGGGCACGUCCGUUGCUGAAAUCCCCCGGCUCAACCGGGGAACGGGCGCGGAUACGACUCUCCUUGAGGGGCGUAGGGGGACCUGGAACUUCCGGUGGAGCGGUGAAAUGCGUUGAGAUCGGAAGGAACACCCGUGGCUAAGGCGGCUCUCUAGUACGGUACUGACGCUGAGACGCGAAAGCGUGGGGAGCGAACAGG